AGGCAUUGCAAAAAAUCUUCAUGGAGCUGGAUGAAGGCAAACUCCCAAGGAACUAGAAAUGUCACCUUUUGGUCAGUCAUCUUUGAAUCUGGUCCAUCAGUCUUCAGGCCUGAUCUCUCUCUUUCUUUCUCUUCUCUCCCUCUCUCUCUUCCCCCUUCUCUCUCCCCUUCUCUCUCUCUUCUCCCUCUCUCACUCCUUUAUCUUUCUCCUCUCCCUCCUCUCCCUGUGAUGUUUGCUGCACUUUUUUCCAUUUGUCAAUUGCUGGAUAAAAAACAAUACUGUGUAUUUCAUGUUGCUUUCAAUAAAAAUUGACUACUAAA
Long non-coding RNA from Alosa sapidissima (American shad), 320 nucleotides. RefSeq lists it as uncharacterized. The record is from RefSeq and is a predicted model, not a curated record. Lineage: Eukaryota; Metazoa; Chordata; Actinopteri; Clupeiformes; Clupeidae. The transcript has 2 exons.